GACGAACGCUGGCGGCGCGCUUAACACAUGCAAGUCGAGCGAAGUGGCGGACGGGCGAGUAACACGUGAGUAACCUGCUUUAGACAUUGGGAUAGCUACGGGAAACCGGGAUUAAUACCAAAUGGUCUAAGAUGGACUGGCGUCCCAUUAGCUAGUUGGUGGGUAACGGCCCACCAAGGCGACGAUGGGUAGACGGCCUGUGAGGAUGAUCAGUCACUCUGGAGCUGAGAAUCGGUCCAGACUCUGCGGGAGGGGGCAGUGGGGAAUAUUGCCAUAUGGAGGGAGCGAUGAAGCAGCUAGGCCGCGUAAGCGAAGAAGGCUUUGGGGUAGUAAAGUACUUUUAUAUGGGGAGCGGUACCAAAAGAAAAAGCCCCGGCUAACUACGUGCCAGCAGCCGCGGUAAUAC
RNAcentral lists this ribosomal RNA (406 nucleotides) under uncultured bacterium. RNAcentral describes it as "partial 16S ribosomal RNA". It matches the Rfam family "Bacterial small subunit ribosomal RNA", at positions 28 to 526 of the family's 1533-position model. The record is from RNAcentral.